This 775-nucleotide ribosomal RNA is filed under the name uncultured Neocallimastigales. RNAcentral's name for it is "partial large subunit ribosomal RNA". It matches the Rfam family "Eukaryotic large subunit ribosomal RNA", at positions 24 to 642 of the family's 3401-position model. Lineage: Eukaryota; Fungi; Neocallimastigomycota; Neocallimastigomycetes; Neocallimastigales. The record is from RNAcentral.
UAUCUCUGUAGAGUCUGCAUAUCAAUAAGCGGAGGAAAAGAAACUAACAAGGAUUCCCCUAGUAACGGCGAGUGAGGCGGGAAGAGCUCAAAUUUGAAGUCUUCAAGGUUUGACCUUGACGAAUUGUAGUUUAAAGAAGUGUUUUCGGUUAGAGGAGUAGUAAAAGUUCUUUGGAAUAGGACAUCAUAGAGGGUGAGAAUCCCGUAUUUGACUAUUCUUUCUAGCUUUGUGAUACACUUUCAAAGAGUCGGAUUGUUUGGGAAUGCAGUCCAAAAUGGGUGGUAAAUUUCAUCUAAAGCUAAAUAUUGGCGAGAGACCGAUAGCGAACAAGUACCGUGAGGGAAAGAUGAAAAGAACUUUGAAAAGAGAGUUAAACAGGUACGUGAAAUUGUCAAAAGGGAAGCGUUUGACACCAGUGUUGUUUUUCCGAAAAUCAAUUAAAAAUUGAUUCAUGCCAGGUUGUAUUGACCUUAUCAGCUUGCAAUUUGGUUUUGGGUCUCUUUUUGAUGCACUUUUCGGUUAACAAGUCAACAUCAAUUUCCUUUACUGUAAAAAGGUAAGAGGAAGGUGGCUUCAAUUUCGGUUGAAGUGUUUAUAGCCUUUUAUCUCUGCAGUCGGGGAGAUUGAGGUCUGCAGCGUAGAUCCUUCGGGGCUAGAUACAUUUAUGCUAAGUUAUAGCUUUUCAUAGACAACUUGUUGACUAUGUUUAGUCAUGUAGCUUACUCGUAAGUGCUAUUUUACCUACGCUUAGGAUGUUGAAGACUCUACAGAGAUA